GGGGAGAGGGGCGGGGCGAUGGGGAGUGACGUCACUGGGGAGGGCGUUGGGUGUGACGUCAUGGGGUGGUGAUGUCAUUGGAUGAUGUCAUUGGGCAGGGAUGUAAUUGGAUGAUGCCAUUGGGCUGUGAUGUCAUUGGGUGAUGUCAUUGGGUGAUGUACUGGGUGACACUGUGGGACGGUGACGUCAUUGGGCUGUGAUGUCAUUGGGCUGUGAUGUCAUUGGGCUGUGAUGUCAUUGGACUGUGAUGUCAUUGGACUGUGAUGUCAUUGGGUGACGUCAUGAGGCGGCGAUGUGCUGGGUGACGUUGUGGGACGGUGACGUCAUUGGAGAGUGAUGUCAUUGGGCCGUGACGUCAUUGGGCGAUUGUGUCAUUGGAUGAUGUCAUUGGGCUGUGAUGUCAUUGGAUGAUAUCAUUGGGUGGUGAUGUCAUUGGGCGGUGAUGUCAUUGGAUGAUGUCAUUGGGUGGUGAUGUCAUUGGAUGAUGUCAUUGGAUGAUGUCAUUGGGCAAUGAUGCCAUUGGACGAUGUCAUUGAGUGAUGUCAUUGGGCAGUGAUGUCAUUGGAUGAUGUCAUUGGGCGGUGAUGUCAUUGGAGUGACGUCAUGGGGUGAUGACCCGGACACGGGGACAGUGACACCCGGACACGGGGACAGUGACACCCGGACACGGGGACAGUGACACGGGGAACAGUGACACUCGGACACGGGGACAGUGACACAGGGACAGUGACACCCGGACACGGGGACAGUGACACGGGGACAGUGACACCCGGACACGGGGACAGUGACACCGGGACAGUGACACGGCUGUCACCUGGGCCUGGCACGAUGACCCUGAUGUCACUCAGGUGUGUUCCAGGUGUCCCUCGGGUGUCACCUGGAUGUCCCUGGUGUCACUCAGGUGUGUCCCAAGUGUCCCAAGUGUCCCCCAGGUGUCCCCCGGGUGUCUCAGGUGUCCCCCAGGUGUCCCUCAGGUGUCCCAGGUGUCCCCCAGGUGUCCCCCAGGUGUCCCCUGGGUGUCUCAGGUGUCACCUGGAUGUCCCUGGUGUCCCCCAGGUGUCACCCAGGUGUCUCAGGUGUUCCCCAGGUGUCUCAGGUGUCCCCCAGGUGUCUCAGGUGUGUCCCUCAGGUGUCCCCCAGGUGUGUCUCAGGUGUCACCCAGGUGUCCCCCAGGUGUCUCAGGUGUCCCUCAGGUGUCCCUGGUGUCCCUCAGGUGUCACCCCCCAAUAAAGUCCCCAGUGCUGGUGACACCGCGGUGGCUUCAUCUGGGGGAGGGGACCCCAAAAAUGGGGAGAGGGGACAUUGGGGACCCCAAAAAUGGGGAUGGGACCCCCAAAAUUGGGAUUGGGACAAUUUGGGGACCCCAAAAAUGGGGAUGGGACCCCCAAAAUUGGGAUUGGGACGAUUUGGGGACCCCAAAAAUUGGGAUGGGGACAUUGAGGACCCCCAAAAAUGGGGAGGGGACCCCAAAAAUUGAGAUUGGGACAUUUUGGGGACCCCAAAAAUGGGGAGAGGACCCCAAAAAAUGGGAUGGGGACAUUGAGGACCCCCAAAAAUGGGAAGGGGACCCCAAAAAUUGGGAUUGGGACAAUUUGGGGACCCCAAAAAUGGGGAGAGGGGACAUUGGGGACCCCAAAAAUGGGGAUGGGACCCCCAAAAUUGGGAUUGGGACAAUUUGGGGACCCCAAAAAUUGGGAUGGGGAAAUUCUGGGGACCCCAAAAAUGGGGAUGGGACCCCAAAAAUGGGAUGGGGACAAUUUGGGGACCCCAAAAAUUGGGAGACCCCAAAAAUGGGAUUGGGACCCCAAAAUUGGGACUGGGACAAUUUGGGGACCCCAAAAAUGGGGAGAGGGGACAUUGGGGACCCCAAAAAUGGGAUUGGGACAUUCUGGGGACCCCAAAAAUUGGGAUUGGGACAUUGAGGACUCCCAAAAAUUUGGGAUGGGACCCCAAAAAUGGGAUGGGGACCCCAAAAAUUGGGAUUGGGACAAUUUGGGGACCCCAAAAAUGGGGAGGGGACCCCAAAAAAUGGGGAGAGGACCCCAAAAAUUGGGAUUGGGACAUUCUGGGGACCCCAAAAAUUGGGAUUGGGACAUUGAGAACCCCCAAAAAUUUGGGAUGGGACCCCAAAAAUGGGAUGGGGACAAUUUGGGGACCCCAAAAAUGGGGAGAGGGGACAUUGGGGACCCCAAAAAUGGGGAUGGGACCCCAAAAAUUGGGAUUGGGACAAUUUGGGGUCCCCAAAAAUUGGGAUGGGGACAUUGAGGACCCCCAAAAAUGGGGAGAGGACCCCAAAAUUGGGACUGGGACAUUUUGGGGACCCCAAAAAUUUGGAUUGGGACAAUUUGGGGACCCCAAAAAUGGGGAUGGGACCCCCAAAAUGGGAUGGGGACAAUUUGGGGACCCCAAAAAUUUGGGAUGGGACCCCAAAAUUGGGGACAAAGCCUCUCAGACACCCCGAAAUCUCCGCUCCCAAAAUUUUAUUUCCUGAACCUUUCCAGGGCUCCCCUUUUUUGGGGGGAUCCCCCCAAAUUCCGGCCGGGAAUCCCCUCCUUCCCUUUCCCGGGAUUUUUGGGCUUUCCCCGCCUUUUUCCCACUUUUUUUUGGGAUUUUUCCGGGGUUUUUUUCCCAAUUUUUGGGGAUUUUUCUCCCAAUUUUUCUCCAAUUUUUUGGGAUUUUUCCGGGGUUUUUUUCCCAAUUUUUGGGAAUUUUUCCAGGGUUUUUUCCCCAAUUUUUUGGGAUUUUUCUCCCAUUUUUUCCCCAAUUUUUUGGGAUUUUUCUCCCAAUUUUCCCCCAAUUUUUUGGGACUUUUCUCCCAAUUUUUCUCCAAUUUUUUUUGAUUUUUCUCCCAUUUUUUCCCCAAUUUUGGGGGAUUUUUCUCCCAUUUUUUCCCCAAUUUUUGGGGAUUUUUCUCCCAUUUUUUCCCCAAUUUUUUGGGAUUUUUCUCCCAAUUUUUCCCCAAUUUUUUGGGAUUUUUCUCCCAACUUUUCCCCAAUUUUUUGGGAUUUUUCUCCCAUUUUUUCCAUGAUUUUUUGGGAUUUUUCUCCCAACUUUUCUCCAAUUUUUGGGAAUUUUUCUCCCAUUUUUUCCAUGAUUUUUGGGGAUUUUUCUCCCAUUUUUUCCCCAAUUUUUUGGGAUUUUUCUCCCAUUUUUUCCCCGUUUUUCUGGGAUUUUCCCAUCAUUUUUCCCCCAUUUUUUUGAAGGAUUUCUCCCGUUUUUCCCGCGGAUUUUGGGGAUUUUCCCGCCAUUUUUCCCGCGGAUUUUGGGGGUUUUCCCGCCAUUUUUCCCGCGGAUUUUGGGGGUUUUCCCGCCGUUUUUUUCCCGGUUUUUUGGAGGAUUUUUCCCGUUUUUUCCCCGUUUUUCCUCUCCUUUUUCCUCCUUUUCCUGGGGGGUUCCCCCUCCUCGUUUUUCUCCUUCUGCUCCAAACUCUGCCGGAUCCGGGCCUGGGGGAGGAGGGGGGAAAAAUUCGGGAAUUCCCAAAAUUUGGGAAUUCCCAAAAUCCUGGGAACCCCCCCCCAAAAAAAAAGUUUGGGAAUUUCCUCAAAAAUUCCAGGAAUUCCCUGGGAAACUCUUCCCAAAUUUUUGGGGUUUUUGUUUUGGGGAUGGAGGGUGAGGACACCCAGGAAUUCCUGAAGAAUUCCCAAAAAAAAUUCCCAAAAAUUCCCCCCAAAAUUUCCCAAAAAAUCCCCCCAAAAAUCAAAAAAAAUCCCCCAAAAAUCCCUAAAAAAUUCCCAAAAAAUCCCAAAAAACUCCCAAAAAAUCCCCCAAAAAAUCCCCAAAAACCCCAAAAAAUCCCCAAAAAUUCCCAAAAAAUUCCCCCCCCCAAAAAUAUAAAAAAACCCAAAAAAAAUCCCAGAAGAAAACCAAAAAAUUCCCAAAAAAUCCCCCAAAAAUCCCAAAAAAAUUCCCAAAAAAUCCCCCCAAAAUUCCCAAAAAAUCCCCAAAAAAUUCCCAAAAAAUAAAAAAAAAUUUCCCCAAAAAUCCCCUCA
Molecule: long non-coding RNA, 3989 nt
Organism: Cyanistes caeruleus (blue tit)
Lineage: Eukaryota; Metazoa; Chordata; Aves; Passeriformes; Paridae
Source: Ensembl